RNAcentral lists this ribosomal RNA (465 nucleotides) under uncultured bacterium. RNAcentral's name for it is "partial 16S ribosomal RNA". It matches the Rfam family "Bacterial small subunit ribosomal RNA", at positions 28 to 507 of the family's 1533-position model. The record is from RNAcentral.
GACGAACGCUGGCGGCGUGCUUAACACAUGCAAGUCGAACGGAAAGGCCCCUUUGGGGGUACUCGAGUGGCGAACGGGUGAGUAACACGUGAGUAACCUGCCCUUGACUUCGGGAUAACUUCAGGAAACUGGGGCUAAUACCGGAUAGGAAUCCUUGCUGCAUGGUGGGGGAUGGAAAGCUUCGGCGGUUUUGGAUGGACUCGCGGCUUAUCAGCUUGUUGGUGGGGUAGUGGCUUACCAAGGCUUUGACGGGUAGCCGGCCUGAGAGGGCGACCGGCCACAUUGGGACUGAGAUACGGCCCAGACUCCUACGGGAGGCAGCAGUGGGGAAUAUUGCACAAUGGGCGGAAGCCUGAUGCAGCAACGCCGCGUGCGGGAUGACGGCCUUCGGGUUGUAAACCGCUUUCAGCAGGGGCGAAGCUUGUGGUGACGGUACCUGCAGAAGAAGCACCGGCUAACUACGUG